RNAcentral lists this ribosomal RNA (465 nucleotides) under Vreelandella stevensii. RNAcentral describes it as "partial 16S ribosomal RNA". It matches the Rfam family "Bacterial small subunit ribosomal RNA", at positions 338 to 795 of the family's 1533-position model. Lineage: Bacteria; Pseudomonadati; Pseudomonadota; Gammaproteobacteria; Oceanospirillales; Halomonadaceae. The record is from RNAcentral.
CCUACGGGCGGCUGCAGUGGGGAAUAUUGGACAAUGGGGGGAACCCUGAUCCAGCCAUGCCGCGUGUGUGAAGAAGGCCCUCGGGUUGUAAAGCACUUUCAGUGAGGAAGAACGCCUGGUGGUUAAUACCCAUCAGGAAAGACAUCACUCACAGAAGAAGCACCGGCUAACUCCGUGCCAGCAGCCGCGGUAAUACGGAGGGUGCGAGCGUUAAUCGGAAUUACUGGGCGUAAAGCGCGCGUAGGUGGCUUGAUAAGCCGGUUGUGAAAGCCCCGGGCUCAACCUGGGAACGGCAUCCGGAACUGUCAAGCUAGAGGGCAGGAGAGGAAGGUAGAAUUCCCGGUGUAGCGGUGAAAUGCGUAGAGAUCGGGAGGAAUACCAGUGGCGAAGGCGGCCUUCUGGACUGACACUGAUACUGAGGUGCGAAAGCGUGGGUAGCAAACAGGAUUAGAUACCCUUGUAGUC